GAUGAACGCUGGCGGCGUGCCUAAUACAUGCAAGUCGAACGAACAGACGAGGCUCUUGCUCCUCUGACGUUAGCGGCGGACGGGAGAAUCACACGUGGAUCACCUCCCUAUAAGUCUGAGAUCACCUCGAGACACGGGAGCUAAUCCCGGAUAAUAUAUUGCACCGCAUGGUUCAUUGGUAAAAGACGGUUUUGGUGUCUCUUAUAGCUGGAUCCCCGCCGCAUUAGCUGGUUGGUAAGUUCACGGCUUACCACGGCAACGAUGCGUAGCCGACCUGCGAGGGCGGUCGGCCACACUGGAAGGGAGACACGGUCCAGAGUCCUACGGGAGGCAGCAGUAGGGAAUCUGGCGCAAUGGGCGGAAGCCUUACGGAGCAGCGCCGAGUGAGGGAGGAAGGUCUUCGGAUCGGAAAACUCGGUUAUCAGGGAAGAACAAAUUUGUAAGUAACUAGGCACGUCUUGACGGUAACUGAGCAGAAAGCCACGGCUAACUACGGG
This 497-nucleotide ribosomal RNA is filed under the name uncultured bacterium. Its description in RNAcentral is "partial 16S ribosomal RNA". It matches the Rfam family "Bacterial small subunit ribosomal RNA", at positions 28 to 507 of the family's 1533-position model. The record is from RNAcentral.